This is a non-coding RNA of Tothia fuscella, 131 nucleotides long. The record is from the annotation of a GenBank genome assembly. Lineage: Eukaryota; Fungi; Ascomycota; Dothideomycetes; Venturiales; Cylindrosympodiaceae.
GCCUUCUUAGCUCAGUGGUAGAGCGUAGCGUGAGUCAGUUAUUACCUCCUACCUUGGGCCCUACUAACAUCAUAUGUAGACUAGUAAUGCUAAUAAUGCUAAGGUCGACGGUUCGACUCCGUCAGGAGGCA